RNAcentral lists this ribosomal RNA (465 nucleotides) under Acinetobacter sp. oral taxon C51. RNAcentral's name for it is "bacterial SSU rRNA". It matches the Rfam family "Bacterial small subunit ribosomal RNA", at positions 30 to 488 of the family's 1533-position model. The record is from RNAcentral. Lineage: Bacteria; Pseudomonadati; Pseudomonadota; Gammaproteobacteria; Moraxellales; Moraxellaceae.
AUUGAACGCUGGCGGCAGGCUUAACACAUGCAAGUCGAGCGGAGCGAGGGUGCUUGCACCUUAGCUUAGCGGCGGACGGGUGAGUAAUGCUUAGGAAUCUGCCUAUUAGUGGGGGACAACAUUCCGAAAGGGAUGCUAAUACCGCAUACGCCCUACGGGGGAAAGCAGGGGAUCUUCGGACCUUGCGCUAAUAGAUGAGCCUAAGUCGGAUUAGCUAGUUGGUGGGGUAAAGGCCUACCAAGGCGACGAUCUGUAGCGGGUCUGAGAGGAUGAUCCGCCACACUGGGACUGAGACACGGCCCAGACUCCUACGGGAGGCAGCAGUGGGGAAUAUUGGACAAUGGGGGGAACCCUGAUCCAGCCAUGCCGCGUGUGUGAAGAAGGCCUUUUGGUUGUAAAGCACUUUAAGCGAGGAGGAGGCGCUCUAGGAUAAUACCCUAGAUGCGUGGACGUACUCGCAGAAUA